RNAcentral lists this long non-coding RNA (658 nucleotides) under Helianthus annuus (common sunflower). Its description in RNAcentral is "sRNA HanXRQr2_Chr09g0393701". Lineage: Eukaryota; Viridiplantae; Streptophyta; Magnoliopsida; Asterales; Asteraceae. The record is from RNAcentral.
UGUUUCAUGUUUCCAGAUUUGAAGAGAUCGAUUUGUUUGCUGUUUAAUAAUGAUUUACGAUGUGUUUUGUCAUAUCUAGGGUUUGCUUGUGGUCUUUCGUAUCCGUCAAAACCCUAAUCGACCGGAGAAAUCGUCAAAAGUUCUUCACAAUAUGAUCGUUCCACAUAAUUUGCAGAUAUGCAUCCCUUACACAACAGUCCUUCAUUUUUAAAGCUUAUUGAUGAAGAUGACCCGAUAUUUUUGGUGAAGAGCUUCUUUCAGACUCCUUCCCCUACAAGGAACUAUUGAAUGGGUUCCUAUGAGAAGUUGAAGAAAACUUAUGGAUAAUGAAAACAACGCUCCUUCGUUAUUAAAGUCGAUUGAGGACUAUGAUCCUAUAUUUUUCGAAUUGUUCGUCGACCAAAAACAGUUAUGGAUCAUGAAAACAACGCUCCUUCGUUGUUAAAGUUGAUUGGGGACUAUGAUCCUAUAUUUUUGAAAAUACCAUAUGAUUUUGCAACCUUAUUGUGGGGAGAACAACUUUCAUAUGUCAAUGUCUUAAAAUUAUUGAUGAUGAUUUAUCGUGAGUCAUUGAGUUAUAAUUUUUGUAUUUAGUUAGUUGUUAAUUCUUUAAAGAUGACUUUGAUUUCAAUUUUAAAGUUGUUUUUGUUUCUAUAAA